UCUUGCGCCAUCGUUAAAUGUCUUCCGCCAUCGUUCAAAACUUUAUCGUUUUUUGUAGCCCGACGCCAUUUUUUUUAUCAAUUAUAAUCAAAUGCAUGUAAUUGCAUAACCCUUAGGCUUUUUAUGUUAUAAUCCAAUACAGUUCUAACGCCUGAGGAACAUACGGAUUAAGAUCGCUAAUCACUUGUACCUGAGCUUGUACAGGUAGAUCAACAAACAGACACGAGAAUACUAUCUGAGGAUAGACGAUUUAUUUGUCGAAAUAAUCAACUAAGUUUUAGCAAAUGAUUAUGAUAAUUUAGAUUAAAUAAAUAAAUUAAUAAUCCAGUUACAAAGAAAACAGUUUAACAAGUCGAACACGUGCUUUGUUUCGACUUACGCAAUCAGCAUCCCCCUUUUUUAAGAAGUACAAAAUAAGACGC
This 422-nucleotide long non-coding RNA is filed under the name Mytilus galloprovincialis (Mediterranean mussel). The record is from RNAcentral. Lineage: Eukaryota; Metazoa; Mollusca; Bivalvia; Mytilida; Mytilidae.